AAGAGGAAAGUGGAAUUCCAUGUGUAGCGGUGAAAUGCGUAGAUAUAUGGAAGAACACCAGUGGCGAAGGCGGCUCUCUGGUCUAUUACUGACGCUGAGGCUCGAAAGCAUGGGUAGCAAACAGGAUUAGAUACCCUGGUAGUCCAUGCCGUAAACGAUGAAUAUUAGGUGUUGGAGGGUUUCCGCCCUUCAUUGCCGCAGAUAACGCAUUAUUGUAUUCCCCCUGGGGAGUACGCCCGCAGGUUUGAAACUCAAAGAAAUUGACGGGGCCCCCCACAAGUGGUGGAGCAUGUGUUUUAUUUGGAUGAUACGAGAAGACCUUUCCCAGCUCUUGACAUCUUGUACCAACCCAAGAGAUUGGGCGUUCCUUUCGGAGACAGAAUCACAGGUGGUGCAUGGUUGUCGUCAGCUCGUGUCGUGAGAUGUUGGGUUAAGUCCCGCAACGAGCGCAACCUUUAUUAUUAGUUCCCAGCAUUUAGUUGGGCACUCUAAGGAGACUGCCGGUGAUAAACCGGAGGAAGGUGGGGAUGACGUCAAAUCAUCAUGCCCCUUAUGAGCUGGGCUACACACGUGCUACAAUGGA
RNAcentral lists this ribosomal RNA (583 nucleotides) under Lactobacillaceae bacterium 3296O2. Its description in RNAcentral is "bacterial SSU rRNA". It matches the Rfam family "Bacterial small subunit ribosomal RNA", at positions 652 to 1234 of the family's 1533-position model. Lineage: Bacteria; Bacillati; Bacillota; Bacilli; Lactobacillales; Lactobacillaceae. The record is from RNAcentral.